This 21-nucleotide unclassified non-coding RNA is filed under the name Mus musculus (house mouse). RNAcentral describes it as "oocyte_clustered_small_RNA10861". The record is from RNAcentral. Lineage: Eukaryota; Metazoa; Chordata; Mammalia; Rodentia; Muridae.
UCUGGACACCAGCCUGGACAA